Mya arenaria is the source of this 815-nucleotide long non-coding RNA. RefSeq lists it as uncharacterized. The transcript is spliced from 3 exons. NCBI's taxonomy places the organism in Eukaryota, Metazoa, Mollusca, Bivalvia, Myida, Myidae. The record is from RefSeq and is a predicted model, not a curated record.
CAAACGAGGAAGUAAUGGCGUCUCGCGUCGUUUCGCUUUCCGAUAUUCCUGACAAAUUAUCAUAAAUGUGACAUUACAAUGCGAAAAAAAUAGAAGUCAAAGGAAUUUGUAACUGGCUGCUACAUCGGAAGGCUCGAUAUAUCUUUAGAAAAUGACGAUAUCUAACAUUUACGGGGUGAAAUCUAUCCAAGUCAGAGAAAAUCGGAUAGCCGCCAUGUUGUCAACAUUGGCAUCGAUACAAAGGAAAAGCGUGUGUGUGACGCAUACUGUAAAUGCAAACAAGGAAAUUGUUGAACAUGUUCACACACUCUGGCUGUAAAAGUAGACCUGGGAGGAAAAGUGCCCCCGGUGUGGGGCUCGAACUCACAACCACCAGAACACUAGCCCGGCGCUCUAACCAACUAAGCUGACCGGGCAGCUGGUUCUAACCCACACACACUACCCUCCCCCCAUUUACCGGUUAAGGCUGGUGGAGGGUCUCCUGCUAUUUACCGUUGACACCAUUAAAGUAUUCUGAUUGAUGGAGAUAAGGAAGUCCCCUUAUUAUUGUCUUAAACAAGCCUACCGCCACAGGGGACCUAGCAUAAGACCGGAAACCGCCCCCCCCCACCCACACACAUGAUAUUUGCCAGUCCAGGCAAUGUCAACCGCAAGAGAAAACCAGUGAUGACAAGUUUUACAAAUAAUCGGAAAGUGUGGUCUUUUGAAGAGAGUUCUUGAAGUUGUUCAGCAUGUUGUUUUGAUGGAUUCUUGGAAGGAUGUACCUCUAUGAUGUUAGCUUCAGUUCUGGAGUAUAACACCAGUUGUUGCAUAUU